UGGAUGGUGACUGGAGAGAUAGCUCAGUGGUUAAGAGUGUUUGCUGCUUCAUGGGUGGUGGUGGUGGCACAAGCCUUUAAUCCAAACACUCAGGAGGCAGAGGCAGGUGGAUCUCUGAGUUCAAGGCCAGCCUGGCCUAUAAGGCAAGUUCCAAGAUAGCCAAGGAUACACAGAGAAACCCUGUUUGAAAAAACCCAAGCCUAGACCUAGAGAGUUGGCUCAAUGGUUAAGAGCACUGACUGCUUUUCCAGAGGUCCUGAGUUCAAGGCCCAGCAAAGGCACAUGGUGGCUCACAACCAUCUGUAAUGGGAUCUGAUGCACUUUUCUGGUGUGUCUAAAGCGACAUGGUAACUCGCUGUCUGUAACUAGUAGCAAACAGUUCAUAUCUCACACAGACAUGAAUGCAGAUAGAGCACCAACACAUAUAAAAUUAAAUCUUUAAAAAAUGAAAGGUCUGGGGGCUGGAUGAAUGGUGUUUGUCUUUGCAAAUGUCUGACAGUGGCUGUGACUCACAGCCUCAUAGCAGCUCCUAUUGCCUGGUGUUCACCAUCUGUCUUGGUUAUAAAAAGGUUUCGUAAUGUGAAACCCUUCAAAUGAGCUGGUGCCCUUCUCACCAGUUUGCAUCUUACAGGAUUCCUGAAGGGCUUAUAUUCUGGGCCGUCCCAUUGUGGAGGAUUAGGUUUUACACAACGUAUCCACUCUAGCAUUGCAAUUUCCCUGAGCCUUAAAAUCCCUUCAUCGACGCUGAGCCAAGGGAUAUCUGGCAUCUGCAACUCCUUUUCCGUAGGCCGUCAUUUGAUGAACGCUUCAGCCAACCAUUCAAACAAACUUCUGACACUUUUUUUUAACUGUGUGGCCUUCCAUAUUAAACCUAGAAUCUCCACUCAGAGAGACCAUGUCAAUAAAUUCAGCCUGAUCUAUUUUAAUGUUG
This 931-nucleotide long non-coding RNA is filed under the name Rattus norvegicus (Norway rat). RNAcentral's name for it is "long non-coding RNA NONRATT017033". Lineage: Eukaryota; Metazoa; Chordata; Mammalia; Rodentia; Muridae. The record is from RNAcentral.